CGUGGCCUGCGGUGCCGUGCAGGUGCGUCCGCCUCCUCUGCACGGCACCGCAGGCCCCGCCC
Molecule: microRNA precursor, 62 nt
Filed under: Haplochromis burtoni (Burton's mouthbrooder)
Lineage: Eukaryota; Metazoa; Chordata; Actinopteri; Cichliformes; Cichlidae
Description: microRNA abu-mir-10548 precursor
Source: miRBase by way of RNAcentral